CUCCACCGUAUCCUUCGAAGAAUACUUUAAAAAGAGCUCUUUUCUAGGAUUGAGCUGAGCUCUGUACUGGGGGGAUGAGGAGGUUGGUGAGCCAGGAUUGGGAUAUUUGGGCUGUAGCCCCGUUGCCUUUUAUUAGCUAUUGGGUUGGUUUUGUUUUUACCGUUGUUUUUGGCUGGCGAAGGAAGCUCUGCUUUUGACCUGCUUGCAUUUGUUUCUUUGGUGCAAAGUUUAUUUGAGCUGGUGAGUUGAUGGGUCUUGGAGGCUUGGCUUUUUGGGACUGCAUCAUGAGAUCUUUUCACUUCUAUUAUGUCAGUCUUGGGGUUGGGUUUUUGAACUCUAAUCCUUCUCUCGUCUCUUUCUCUCUUUCCUCUUCAUGUCAUGGUCUUUUAAUUAAUUUGUUAUGUUCUAGAAUGAGCUCGACAUUUUUAUUUUGAAUAUGGGUAACUGGUC
Molecule: long non-coding RNA, 450 nt
Filed under: Phoenix dactylifera (date palm)
Lineage: Eukaryota; Viridiplantae; Streptophyta; Magnoliopsida; Arecales; Arecaceae
Description: long non-coding RNA (PDAC_LNC005150)
Source: RNAcentral